AUCAAAAUCUUAGACUUUGUUAAAUUUCGGUCGUAAAUCAACACUGUCAAAUAUUUUUCAUGUGUUUUCUAUAGGGCAAGUUGACACUGUAGGUGCGCAGAAGCUACUUAGUGAGAGAGCCAACACUUUGAGGUCAAUAGACAAGUUGAUAGUGUAUAUAAAACUUGGGAAUGAUGAGGUUUGUGCUGGUGUACAAAUUUCUGACGCUUGGAUACUCACUCUUGCUGACUGUGUCGAUACUAAAAUCAAGCUCGGAAAGUACAGUAUCAAAUACCAAGAUGGUUCAAAACAGGUCAUUGCUGAAGACAGGGACUCCGUUGGCGAAGAAUUUGUUCUUCUGCAGAUGAAGUCAACUAAAGAAGCCAAAACUAAGUUUGCAAAACUUUCUGACAAAAUGUUACCUUCAACCGACUACGAUUAUCAGCUCUACAUUACGGAUGAGUCCGAUAAACUAACUGCAAAUGAUGUUGUUUUUGUCAGAGGCAUUCAAUGUGUGAAAAAAGGCAUUGAAGGCAACUUUGGAGAGACACGCAAAUGUUUUCAAGUCA
Molecule: long non-coding RNA, 548 nt
Organism: Ruditapes philippinarum (Manila clam)
Lineage: Eukaryota; Metazoa; Mollusca; Bivalvia; Venerida; Veneridae
Exons: 4
Source: RefSeq, a predicted model, not a curated record